CAUCAUUGAAUAACCGGUUCUCGUUAGAUCACCGAAGUCAAGCAUCAUUGGGCGCGGUCAGUAUGGGUGGGUGACCACCUGGGACUGCGUGCCGUU
Caerostris extrusa is the source of this 96-nucleotide non-coding RNA. NCBI's taxonomy places the organism in Eukaryota, Metazoa, Arthropoda, Arachnida, Araneae, Araneidae. The record is from the annotation of a GenBank genome assembly.